This 39-nucleotide ribosomal RNA is filed under the name Pilobolus kleinii. RNAcentral's name for it is "partial 18S ribosomal RNA". RNAcentral also lists the same sequence under 1 other name. The record is from RNAcentral. Lineage: Eukaryota; Fungi; Mucoromycota; Mucoromycetes; Mucorales; Pilobolaceae.
AAUGACCCUUCCGUAGGUGAACCUGCGGAAGGAUCAUUA